RNAcentral lists this ribosomal RNA (2897 nucleotides) under Streptococcus thermophilus. RNAcentral's name for it is "23S ribosomal RNA". It matches the Rfam family "Bacterial large subunit ribosomal RNA". The record is from RNAcentral. Lineage: Bacteria; Bacillati; Bacillota; Bacilli; Lactobacillales; Streptococcaceae.
GGUUAAGUUAAUAAGGGCGCACGGUGGAUGCCUUGGCACUAGAAGCCGAUGAAGGACGUGACUAACGACGAAAUGCUUUGGGGAGCUGUAAGUGAGCAAUGAUCCAGAGAUGUCCGAAUGGGGAACCCGGCAGGUAACGCCUGUCACUCAUUACUGUUAAGGUAAUGUAGAGGAAGACGCAGUGAACUGAAACAUCUAAGUAGCUGUAGGAAGAGAAAGCAAAAGCGAUUGCCUUAGUAGCGGCGAGCGAAACGGCAAGAGGGCAAACCGAAGAGUUUACUCUUCGGGGUUGUAGGACUGCAACGUGGACUUAAAGAUUAUAGAAGAACUACCUGGGAAGGUAGGCCAAAGAGAGUAAUAGCCUCGUAUUCGAAAUAGUCUUUAUACCUAGCAGUAUCCUGAGUACGGCGAGACACGAGAAAUCUCGUCGGAAUCUGGGAGGACCAUCUCCCAACCCUAAAUACUCUCUAGUGACCGAUAGUGAACCAGUACCGUGAGGGAAAGGUGAAAAGCACCCCGGGAGGGGAGUGAAAUAGAACCUGAAACCGUGUGCCUACAACAAGUUCGAGCCCGUUAAUGGGUGAGAGCGUGCCUUUGUAGAAUGAACCGGCGAGUUACGAUAUGAUGCGAGGUUAAGUUGAAGAGACGGAGCCGUAGGGAAACCGAGUCUUAAUAGGGCGCAUUAGUAUCAUGUCGUAGACCCGAAACCAUGUGACCUACCCAUGAGCAGGUUGAAGGUGAGGUAAAACUCACUGGAGGACCGAACCAGGGCACGUUGAAAAGUGCUUGGAUGACUUGUGGGUAGCGGAGAAAUUCCAAACGAACUUGGAGAUAGCUGGUUCUCUCCGAAAUAGCUUUAGGGCUAGCGUCGAUGUUAAGUCUCUUGGAGGUAGAGCACUGUUUGGGUGAGGGGUCCAUCCCGGAUUACCAAUCUCAGAUAAACUCCGAAUGCCAAUGAGAUAUAAUCGGCAGUCAGACUGCGAGUGCUAAGAUCCGUAGUCGAAAGGGAAACAGCCCAGACCACCAGCUAAGGUCCCAAAAUAUAUGUUAAGUGGAAAAGGAUGUGGGGUUGCACAGACAACUAGGAUGUUAGCUUAGAAGCAGCUAUUCAUUCAAAGAGUGCGUAAUAGCUCACUAGUCGAGUGACCCUGCGCCGAAAAUGUACCGGGGCUAAAACAUAUUACCGAAGCUGUGGAUACCUUUAUAGGUAUGGUAGGAGAGCGUUCUAUGUGCGAAGAAGGUGUACCGUGAGGAGUGCUGGAGCGCAUAGAAGUGAGAAUGCCGGUAUGAGUAGCGAAAGACAGGUGAGAAUCCUGUCCACCGUAAGACUAAGGUUUCCAGGGGAAGGCUCGUCCGCCCUGGGUUAGUCGGGACCUAAGGAGAGACCGAAAGGUGUAUCCGAUGGACAACAGGUUGAUAUUCCUGUACUAGAGUAUAUAGUGAUGGAGGGACGCAGUAGGCUAACUAAACCAGACGAUUGGAAGUGUCUGGCCAAGCAGUGAGGUGUGAUAUGAGUCAAAUGCUUAUAUCUUUAACAUUGAGCUGUGAUGGGGAGCGAAGUUUAGUAGCGAAGUUAGUGAUGUCACACUGCCGAGAAAAGCUUCUAGCGUUAAUUAUACUCUACCCGUACCGCAAACCGACACAGGUAGUCGAGGCGAGUAGCCUCAGGUGAGCGAGAGAACUCUCGUUAAGGAACUCGGCAAAAUGGCCCCGUAACUUCGGGAGAAGGGGCGCUGACUGAUGGUCAGCCGCAGUGAAUAGGCCCAAGCAACUGUUUAUCAAAAACACAGCUCUCUGCUAAAUCGUAAGAUGAUGUAUAGGGGGUGACGCCUGCCCGGUGCUGGAAGGUUAAGAGGAGUGCUUAGCGUAAGCGAAGGCAUGAAUUGAAGCCCCAGUAAACGGCGGCCGUAACUAUAACGGUCCUAAGGUAGCGAAAUUCCUUGUCGGGUAAGUUCCGACCCGCACGAAAGGCGUAAUGAUUUGGGCACUGUCUCAACGAGAGACUCGGUGAAAUUUUAGUACCUGUGAAGAUGCAGGUUACCCGCGACAGGACGGAAAGACCCCAUGGAGCUUUACUGCAGUUUGAUAUUGAGUAUCUGUACCACAUGUACAGGAUAGGUAGGAGCCUAUGACCUCGGGACGCCAGUUUCGAGUGAGGCGUUGUUGGGAUACUACCCUUGUGUUAUGGCUACUCUAACCCAGAUAGGUUAUCCCUAUCGGAGACAGUGUCUGACGGGCAGUUUGACUGGGGCGGUCGCCUCCUAAAAGGUAACGGAGGCGCCCAAAGGUUCCCUCAGAAUGGUUGGAAAUCAUUCGCAGAGUGUAAAGGUAUAAGGGAGCUUGACUGCGAGAGCUACAACUCGAGCAGGGACGAAAGUCGGGCUUAGUGAUCCGGUGGUUCCGUAUGGAAGGGCCAUCGCUCAACGGAUAAAAGCUACCCUGGGGAUAACAGGCUUAUCUCCCCAAGAGUUCACAUCGACGGGGAGGUUUGGCACCUCGAUGUCGGCUCGUCGCAUCCUGGGGCUGUAGUCGGUCCCAAGGGUUGGGCUGUUCGCCCAUUAAAGCGGCACGCGAGCUGGGUUCAGAACGUCGUGAGACAGUUCGGUCCCUAUCCGUCGCGGGCGUAGGAAAUUUGAGAGGAUCUGCUCCUAGUACGAGAGGACCAGAGUGGACUUACCGCUGGUGUACCAGUUGUUCUGCCAAGAGCAUCGCUGGGUAGCUAUGUAGGGAAGGGAUAAACGCUGAAAGCAUCUAAGUGUGAAGCCCACCUCAAGAUGAGAUUUCCCAUGAUUUUAUAUCAGUAAGAGCCCUGAGAGAUGAUCAGGUUGAUAGGUUAGAAGUGGAAGUGUGGUGACACAUGUAGCGGACUAAUACUAAUAGCUCGAGGACUUAUCCAA